GGAGAGAUGGCUGAGUUGGUUGAAAGCGCACGAUUGGAAGUCGUGUAAGCGGGCUUAAACCCGCUUCAAGAGUUCGAAUCUCUUUCUCUCCGCCA
RNAcentral lists this transfer RNA (95 nucleotides) under bacterium UBP9_UBA11836. Its description in RNAcentral is "tRNA-Ser". It matches the Rfam family "tRNA". From Rfam's summary of the family: Transfer RNA (tRNA) molecules are approximately 80 nucleotides in length. RNAcentral also lists the same sequence under 1 other name. The record is from RNAcentral.